AAAGGCACUUGCAAAGGGGCUAGUGAAUGGUGGGGUAUCCUGGGCCUCACAUACCUAGGACUAAGGGGAAGCUGGAAGGCAAAUACUUCCCAAACAUGUCUGGGAGCCCCAGGAUGUAGGAAGAGUUGGAGACCUUCUAAACCAUUUGUCUAAAUAUUUGAAAUUUAUUACUUGAGUCAUCAAACCACUAAAGGAAGUGUGUUCUAACUGUUGCCUCCGCAAAUCCCCAUGUGGCAACCUGAAAGACUUAGUUGGAAGCCAUAAUUCUUGGACUGUUCACAACUCCGUGCUGGAACAAGGAGAAGCACACAUGUCUACCAGGAAGACACCACCAGGAGGGGAGGUCACAGAGACAGUGGAGGUGCACAGCCUCCCUCCUGGUCCUCUGAUGGAGGCCAGAAGAGGGCAGAAGAUCCCCUGGAACUGGA
Mus musculus (house mouse) is the source of this 428-nucleotide long non-coding RNA. RefSeq annotates it as predicted gene 5600. NCBI's taxonomy places the organism in Eukaryota, Metazoa, Chordata, Mammalia, Rodentia, Muridae. The transcript is spliced from 3 exons. The record is from RefSeq and is a predicted model, not a curated record.